Molecule: long non-coding RNA, 1150 nt
Organism: Phodopus roborovskii (desert hamster)
Lineage: Eukaryota; Metazoa; Chordata; Mammalia; Rodentia; Cricetidae
Exons: 3
Source: RefSeq, a predicted model, not a curated record
GAGAAGUAGCCGAGACUGCAGAAGGCAUCCAGAUGGCAGUGUGGUGGCUGGCACGGUGCCCACUGCCAAGGAUGCAAGCACACUUGCACGCACGCACACGUACACACACAAAACCGGAAAGGGUGAUCGAGGAAUAAAAUGAAAAGCAGGGAGAGAAGGGGCCCUGGAAGCCAGGGCUGGGGGGCUGGGGGCGGGGAAGACUCUAGAUCUAUUUGAAUCCACUCCGGAAGUAGAAGAGUAGGGAAAAAAGAAACAACCACGGGCGCAGACAGAAGAGAGCUCUCCCGGGUGAAGGCGAGUGAAAGAAGGUGGCCGAGCCAGGAGGAGAGAGAGAGCCCAGAUGGCUUGGUGUGGUGUGGUGUGCUCCAUCGGCUGCCAACCUAGGGCCAUCGCCUGCCUCCAUCACCCCUUCGCCUGCCCGCCUACCACCCAAUCCCAAAUGGGCACUGGAUCAGGUGCCGAAUCUGGCUGCCUCCUCGGGUACCAGUCACUGCGUUGCUGUGUGUCUGCCACCGCUGCCUGGCACUCAUGGGGCCGUGUGUGUAUGUGUGUGUGCGCGCGCAUGUACAUGUACGCAUACGCGUGUGUUGUAUGUGAGCCUCCUGGGCAUGGGUGGGGGUUGACAUUGCGGUUGCCACUGUAGCAUCCAACUAGAAGGACAGAAGGAUGGAGCGGAAGAAGGAGGGGAGAGGUGUGGGGCCUUGGAGGGGAGAAGAGCGUGCAUGAUUGCAGGCAUUGGCAUCGCAGCUGCCACCCUUGUGCCCAUGGAGAUGGGAGGGAUGGAUGGAGGGGGCAGCGACAGGAGUCCUUGUGCUCUGGGAGGAAGGUGCGGCGCACAAGAGCUGUUGGCAUCACAACUGUUGGGCUUAUGCCCAGAUCUGGGGUUAUGGGGACUAGAGGGACAAGGAGGUAAAGAGGGGGUGUGCUGCUGAUGCCGCUGUCCCUCUAGGAUGAGCUCUAAGAAGUGUCUGAACUAUGAAGGAGUCAUCUCUGCUCCAGUCUAGGAAGCGAAGUGAAGAGAGUAGAUGGGGAAGAGCCAACAAAGAAUGGAAGAGGUAGGAGGAGGGACUGUGCCACUACUACCCAGGGAGAACCUGUUUGGGCUAGCAGUGUGGCCUUUUCAGAGAACCCUGAAGACAACAGCAGGGGA